GAACCGGGAGGCGUUUUUAACUCGGAAGCUUGCUUUUGAUGGGCGUCGACUGGCACACGGGUGAGUAUCUCGUAUCCGACCUGCCCACCACUUGGGGAUAACCUUGCGAAAGUAAGACUAAUACCCAAUGAUAUCUCUAGAAGACAUCUGAAAGAGAUUAAAGAUUUAUCGGUGAUGGAUGGGGAUGCGUCUGAUUAGCUUGUUGGCGGGGUAACGGCCCACCAAGGCAACGAUCAGUAGGGGUUCUGAGAGGAAGGUCCCCCACAUUGGAACUGAGACACGGUCCAAACUCCUACGGGAGGCAGCAGUGAGGAAUAUUGGUCAAUGGACGAGAGUCUGAACCAGCCAAGUAGCGUGCAGGAUGACGGCCCUAUGGGUUGUAAACUGCUUUUAUAAGGGAAUAAAGUGAGUCUCGUGAGACUUUUUGCAUGUACCUUAUGAAUAAGGACCGGCUAAUUCCGUGCCAGCAGCCGCGGUAAUACGGAAGGUCCGGGCGUUAUCCGGAUUUAUUG
Molecule: ribosomal RNA, 512 nt
Filed under: uncultured Bacteroidota bacterium
Lineage: Bacteria; Pseudomonadati; Bacteroidota
Description: bacterial SSU rRNA
Rfam family: Bacterial small subunit ribosomal RNA
Source: RNAcentral